GGAAGGGCUGUGGCACAGUGAUAGAGCAUCUGCUUUACAUGCAGGAGGUCCCAGCUUCAAUCCUUGGCAUUUCCA
RNAcentral lists this transfer RNA (75 nucleotides) under Sphaerodactylus townsendi. RNAcentral describes it as "tRNA-Val". It matches the Rfam family "tRNA". Rfam says of the family: Transfer RNA (tRNA) molecules are approximately 80 nucleotides in length. Their secondary structure includes four short double-helical elements and three loops (D, anti-codon, and T loops). Further hydrogen bonds mediate the characteristic L-shaped molecular structure. tRNAs have two regions of fundamental functional importance: the anti-codon, which is responsible for specific mRNA codon recognition, and the 3' end, to which the tRNAs corresponding amino acid is attached (by aminoacyl-tRNA synthetases). tRNAs cope with the degeneracy of the genetic code in two manners: having more than one tRNA (with a specific anti-codon) for a particular amino acid; and 'wobble' base-pairing, i.e. permitting non-standard base-pairing at the 3rd anti-codon position. The record is from RNAcentral. Lineage: Eukaryota; Metazoa; Chordata; Lepidosauria; Squamata; Sphaerodactylidae.